AACUCGACUGCACGAAGUCGGAAUUGCUAGUAAUCGCGGAUCAGCAUGCCGCGGUGAAUACGUUCCCGGGCCUUGUACACACCGCCCGUCACACCAUGAGAGUCGGGAACACCCGAAGUCGGUAGUCUAACCUCGUGAGGACGCCGCCGAAGGUGGGCUUGAUAAUUGGGGUGAAGUCGUAACAAGGUAUC
This 191-nucleotide ribosomal RNA is filed under the name uncultured bacterium. RNAcentral describes it as "partial 16S ribosomal RNA". It matches the Rfam family "Bacterial small subunit ribosomal RNA", at positions 1309 to 1500 of the family's 1533-position model. The record is from RNAcentral.